Molecule: ribosomal RNA, 188 nt
Filed under: uncultured soil bacterium
Lineage: Bacteria
Description: partial 16S ribosomal RNA
Rfam family: Bacterial small subunit ribosomal RNA
Source: RNAcentral
AGAUUGAACGCUGGCGGCAGGCCUAACACAUGCAAGUCGAGCGGCAGCACGGGUACUUGUACCUGGUGGCGAGCGGCGGACGGGUGAGUAAUGCCUAGGAAUCUGCCUGAUAGUGGGGGAUAACGUUCGGAAACGGACGCUAAUACCGCAUACGUCCGUACGGGAGAAAGUGGGGGAUCUUCGGACCU